GUCUACAGCCAUACCACCCUGAACACGCCCUGUCUCAUCUGGAUUUGAAGCUAAGUAGGGUUGGGCCUGGUGAGUACAUGGAUGGAAGACAGAUCUUCAGAAUAGACUGCUCAGAGACA
Molecule: ribosomal RNA, 119 nt
Filed under: Castor canadensis (American beaver)
Lineage: Eukaryota; Metazoa; Chordata; Mammalia; Rodentia; Castoridae
Source: RNAcentral